Cannabis sativa is the source of this 1626-nucleotide long non-coding RNA. RefSeq lists it as uncharacterized. The transcript has 2 exons. The record is from RefSeq and is a predicted model, not a curated record. Lineage: Eukaryota; Viridiplantae; Streptophyta; Magnoliopsida; Rosales; Cannabaceae.
UCGUGAGGUAUUGGAGUAUAAUCACUUUUCAUACAAGUAAUGUAAUAGUGACUCUUCUUCUCAGACUGCCUCUCUCUUGUUAGUGAUGUUCGAGAUUCUUCUAUCUCCUCUUGGAAGCUUACUAAUCUGUUUUUGUAUUUAUUUUCUUGUCUGGAUUUUGAUGCUAAGUGCUGUGUGUUUUGGAUUUCUCGUAGCAAAAAUAUUGUUGCUCACAAUAUGGUUGCUUGGGCUGCGUCCCAUAACAUCGUUGGGUCUCUUUGUGCAGGGGAUGUAGCACCCCUUGUCGCUACUCAUGAUUAAUCUGUCUGAUUUUUUUUUUCUAGUUUUUAUAAAAAUUUUGGUUUCAGCAAAAAAAAAUAUAAUAGUGAUUACACUGAAAAAUGUCAUUACUAGAGGUUAAAGCAGGGGCAGACCCACAUUGUAGCGAGAAAAAAAUGUAUAUGUAUUUUAAUUAGUUACAACAUAUAUUUGUAUUAAAAGAUGAUAUUUAUAGACACAAUAGUAACCUUGGUGUAAUAAUUAAGGUAGUUGGUAAAUAGGUUAGAGGGUAAAAGUUUAAACCCCACUAACUACACUUUAUAUAUUUUUUUUAAAUUUAUUUACGCCCCCCCCCCCCCCCCUCACUUUAAAUUCUGGGUCCUGGGUUAAAGGCAAAUAUUAGAAUUGUAAUCAUGAUUCCAUUACAAUGUUGAUUACAAUAAACUAAAUAUGCCAUUAGAUUGGGGUGUUUUCGAACAAACUAACUACACUUUAUAUUUUCUUUUUAAAUUUAUUUACCCCCGUUCACUUUAAAUUCUGGGUCCGUCACUGAGUUAAAGGCAAAUAUUAGAAUUGUAAUCAUGAUUCCAUUACAAUGUUGAUUACAAUAAACUAAACAUGCCAUUAUAUUGGGGUGUUUCUGAACAAAUAAUAUUGUGACACAUCGUUUAAUAAAUGUUAAUUUGUGCCAUCCGCAAAACAGAGGAUUACGAUGUGCUUUUUUUUUCUUAUUUUUUUAUUGAAUAAAGGGAACAGUCUCCCAUUUAAGGAAGGAAAAGCUUUAGGGCUUUUCUUCUUGUGAAGCCCAAUCCAAUAGGAGUUACCAUUUGAGAUUGAAUAUCUCUCGAGUGUUUGUUACUGUAGGUAACGUCGGAGAUCCGCAUCGUGGCAUGUCUUCCAGGAUGAGAGGUCUCGUAGGUGGGCCUUUAGAUGAGUCCACCGGUCAAGUGAGGGCCAAGGUGGUCAGGACCUCUCGCGGUGCAGAUGCUAGUGGACCAUCACUGCCUCCCCCUCCACUAGGGGCCAGCACCUACUGGGUCGCCUAUAGUUCAGUCUGUCGACCAAGGUACUAGGAGGGGCGGUAGAGGAGAGGGGUCAGUUGCUAGUAGGAAGGCUUCUGAGUCAGCCACUCGGCGUAUAGACAUGACUAUUCCUUUCUUGGAUGAGGUAUUGCAGGAGUUGGGUGAAAACAUGUGCCUUGUUUGAUCAAGAGUAAAGGCAUAUGCGAGGCAUUCAAAAGUUUUGAGGUGAUGAUACACAAUUUUUUACUGCAAGCGUACAGUGUUGUUAUAGCAAAGUUUUAAAACUAAAAAGGUUGUCGAACCCACAAGGAUUGAUUAUUAAAUUUUACUAAAUAUUAUAGUUUAA